GGGGUAGCUCAGCGGUAGAGCGGAUGGCUGUUAACCAUUAGGCCGCGGGUUCGAACCCCGCCC
This 63-nucleotide transfer RNA is filed under the name human oral metagenome. It matches the Rfam family "tRNA", at positions 6 to 65 of the family's 71-position model. From Rfam's summary of the family: Transfer RNA (tRNA) molecules are approximately 80 nucleotides in length. The record is from RNAcentral.